UUAAGCGACUAAGCGUACACGGUGGAUGCCCUGGCAGUCAGAGGCGAUGAAGGACGUGCUAAUCUGCGAAAAGCGUCGGUAAGGUGAUAUGAACCGUUACAGCCGGCGAUGUCCGAAUGGGGAAACCCAGUGCAAUUCGUUGCACUAUCGUUAACUGAAUACAUAGGUUAACGAGGCGAACCGGGGGAACUGAAACAUCUAAGUACCCCGAGGAAAAGAAAUCAACCGAGAUUCCCCCAGUAGCGGCGAGCGAACGGGGAGCAGCCCAGAGUCUGAAUCAGCUUGUGUGUUAGUGGAACGGUCUGGAAAGUCCGACGGUACAGGGUGAUAGUCCCGUACACCAAAAUGCACAGGUUGUGAACUCGAAGAGUAGGGCGGGACACGUGGUAUCCUGUCUGAAUAUGGGGGGACCAUCCUCCAAGGCUAAAUACUCCUGACUGACCGAUAGUGAACCAGUACCGUGAGGGAAAGGCGAAAAGAACCCCGGCGAGGGGAGUGAAAAAGAACCUGAAACCGUGUACGUACAAGCAGUGGGAGCACCUUCGGGUGUGACUGCGUACCUUUUGUAUAAUGGGUCAGCGACUUAUAUUCUGUAGCAAGGUUAACCGUAUAGGGGAGCCGCAGGGAAACCGAGUCUUAACUGGGCGUUAAGUUGCAGGGUAUAGACCCGAAACCCGGUGAUCUAGCCAUGGGCAGGUUGAAGGUUGGGUAACACUAACUGGAGGACCGAACCGACUAAUGUUGAAAAAUUAGCGGAUGACUUGUGGCUGGGGGUGAAAGGCCAAUCAAACCGGGAGAUAGCUGGUUCUCCCCGAAAGCUAUUUAGGUAGCGCCUCGUGAAUUCAUCUUCGGGGGUAGAGCACUGUUUCGGCUAGGGGGUCAUCCCGACUUACCAACCCGAUGCAAACUACGAAUACCGAAGAAUGUUAUCACGGGAGACACACGGCGGGUGCUAACGUCCGUCGUGAAGAGGGAAACAACCCAGACCGCCAGCUAAGGUCCCAAAGUCAUGGUUAAGUGGGAAACGAUGUGGGAAGGCACAGACAGCCAGGAUGUUGGCUUAGAAGCAGCCAUCAUUUAAAGAAAGCGUAAUAGCUCACUGGUCGAGUCGGCCUGCGCGGAAGAUGUAACGGGGCUAAACCAUGCACCGAAGCUGCGGCAGCGACGCUCAGGCGUUGUUGGGUAGGGGAGCGUUCUGUAAGCCUGCGAAGGUGACCUGUGAGGGUUGCUGGAGGUAUCAGAAGUGCGAAUGCUGACAUAAGUAACGAUAAAGCGGGUGAAAAGCCCGCUCGCCGGAAGACCAAGGGUUCCUGUCCAACGUUAAUCGGGGCAGGGUGAGUCGACCCCUAAGGCGAGGCCGAAAGGCGUAGUCGAUGGGAAACAGGUUAAUAUUCCUGUACUUGGUGUUACUGCGAAGGGGGGACGGAGAAGGCUAUGUUAGCCGGGCGACGGUUGUCCCGGUUUAAGCAUGUAGGCUGGUUAUCCAGGCAAAUCCGGAUAAUCAAGGCUGAGGUGUGAUGACGAGGCACUACGGUGCUGAAGUAACAAAUGCCCUGCUUCCAGGAAAAGCCUCUAAGCAUCAGGUAACAUCAAAUCGUACCCCAAACCGACACAGGUGGUCAGGUAGAGAAUACCAAGGCGCUUGAGAGAACUCGGGUGAAGGAACUAGGCAAAAUGGUGCCGUAACUUCGGGAGAAGGCACGCUGGUGUGUAGGUGAAGUCCCUGCGGAUGGAGCUGAGACCAGUCGAAGAUACCAGCUGGCUGCAACUGUUUAUUAAAAACACAGCACUGUGCAAACACGAAAGUGGACGUAUACGGUGUGACGCCUGCCCGGUGCCGGAAGGUUAAUUGAUGGGGUUAUCCGUAAGGAGAAGCUCUUGAUCGAAGCCCCGGUAAACGGCGGCCGUAACUAUAACGGUCCUAAGGUAGCGAAAUUCCUUGUCGGGUAAGUUCCGACCUGCACGAAUGGCGUAAUGAUGGCCAGGCUGUCUCCACCCGAGACUCAGUGAAAUUGAACUCGCUGUGAAGAUGCAGUGUACCCGCGGCAAGACGGAAAGACCCCGUGAACCUUUACUAUAGCUUGACACUGAACAUUGAGCCUUGAUGUGUAGGAUAGGUGGGAGGCUUUGAAGCGUGGACGCCAGUCUGCGUGGAGCCAACCUUGAAAUACCACCCUUUAAUGUUUGAUGUUCUAACGUGGGCCCCUAAUCGGGGUUGCGGACAGUGUCUGGUGGGUAGUUUGACUGGGGCGGUCUCCUCCCAAAGCGUAACGGAGGAGCACGAAGGUUAGCUAAUCCUGGUCGGACAUCAGGAGGUUAGUGCAAUGGCAUAAGCUAGCUUGACUGCGAGCGUGACGGCGCGAGCAGGUGCGAAAGCAGGUCAUAGUGAUCCGGUGGUUCUGAAUGGAAGGGCCAUCGCUCAACGGAUAAAAGGUACUCCGGGGAUAACAGGCUGAUACCGCCCAAGAGUUCAUAUCGACGGCGGUGUUUGGCACCUCGAUGUCGGCUCAUCACAUCCUGGGGCUGAAGUAGGUCCCAAGGGUAUGGCUGUUCGCCAUUUAAAGUGGUACGCGAGCUGGGUUUAGAACGUCGUGAGACAGUUCGGUCCCUAUCUGCCGUGGGCGCUGGAGAAUUGAGGGGGGCUGCUCCUAGUACGAGAGGACCGGAGUGGACGCAUCACUGGUGUUCGGGUUGUCAUGCCAAUGGCACUGCCCGGUAGCUAAAUGCGGAAGAGAUAAGUGCUGAAAGCAUCUAAGCACGAAACUUGCCCCGAGAUGAGUUCUCCCUGAGACUUUAAGUCUCCUGAAGGAACGUUGAAGACGACGACGUUGAUAGGCCGGGUGUGUAAGCGCAGCGAUGCGUUGAGCUAACCGGUACUAAUGAACCGUGAGGCUUAACCU
Molecule: ribosomal RNA, 2900 nt
Filed under: Klebsiella quasipneumoniae
Lineage: Bacteria; Pseudomonadati; Pseudomonadota; Gammaproteobacteria; Enterobacterales; Enterobacteriaceae
Description: 23S ribosomal RNA
Rfam family: Bacterial large subunit ribosomal RNA
Source: RNAcentral